UCCCCGACUUCUCUCUCGCCUUCCAUGGGAGCCACCCUAUGUCGCCUCCGUGCCCCCCUCCUGCACCUCUUCUCUCCACGCCUCUCCCCCACCUACGGCCAGCACGUGGCUCUCAUACACAAACCCUAGGCCUCUCCCAAAGCCGGCCAUGGGAGCAGGCGCGCCACGGUAGCCGGAGCACGUGCUGCUCUGGGUACCGGUAUGUGGCGCCGCCGCG
Molecule: long non-coding RNA, 217 nt
Filed under: Hordeum vulgare
Lineage: Eukaryota; Viridiplantae; Streptophyta; Magnoliopsida; Poales; Poaceae
Description: long non-coding RNA (HVUL_LNC002453)
Source: RNAcentral